RNAcentral lists this ribosomal RNA (491 nucleotides) under uncultured bacterium. Its description in RNAcentral is "bacterial SSU rRNA". It matches the Rfam family "Bacterial small subunit ribosomal RNA", at positions 28 to 514 of the family's 1533-position model. The record is from RNAcentral.
GAUGAACGCUAGCGGCAGGCUUAAUACAUGCAAGUCGAGGGGCAGCAUGGUGUAGCAAUACACUGAUGGCGACCGGCAAACGGGUGCGGAACACGUACAGAACCUUCCUUCGAGCGGGGAAUAGCCCAGAGAAAUUUGGAUUAAUACCCCAUAGUAUAUUGGAGUGGCAUCACUUUAGUAUUAAAGAUUUAUCACUUGAAGAUGGCUGUGCGGCUGAUUAGGUAGUUGGCGGGGUAACGGCCCACCAAGCCUGCGAUCAGUAACUGGUGUGAGAGCACGACCAGUCACACGGGCACUGAGACACGGGCCCGACUCCUACGGGAGCAGCAGUAAGGAAUAUUGGUCAAUGGACGAAAGUCUGAACCAGCCAUGCCGCGUGGAGGAUGAAGGUCCUCUGGAUUGUAAACUUCUUUUAUAUGGACGAAAAAAGGGCUUUCUAGCUCGUCUGACGGUACCAUAUGAAUAAGCACCGGCUAACUCCGUGCCAGCAG